Molecule: long non-coding RNA, 196 nt
Organism: Ipomoea nil (Japanese morning glory)
Lineage: Eukaryota; Viridiplantae; Streptophyta; Magnoliopsida; Solanales; Convolvulaceae
Exons: 3
Source: RefSeq, a predicted model, not a curated record
UGAAAUGUGAGUAAGAAGAAAAUGUUGGUUUAUGUUGUUUGGUUGGAUGGAAAACAUUUUCCAUUGGAAAAUGGAUUCCUCAAAGUUGAGGAAAAUGAAUUCUUUGCAAAGGGGUGGAAUUUUGUUUUCCACAAAGAUUGGGAAGAAAAAUAACAUGAGUGUACCAUUUUACCCUUAUGAAAAUUUCUUAAUUACA